Molecule: unclassified non-coding RNA, 411 nt
Filed under: soil metagenome
Description: partial contains 5.8S ribosomal RNA, internal transcribed spacer 2, and large subunit ribosomal RNA
Rfam family: 5.8S ribosomal RNA (bases 1-121)
Source: RNAcentral
GAUGAAGAACGCAGCAAAGCGCGAAAUGUAAUGUGAAUUGCAGAAUUCAGUGAAUCAUCGAAUCUUUGAACGCAUCUUGCGCUCUUGGGUUAUUCCUAAGAGCAUGCUUGUUGGAGUAACGGAAAAGCUCAACCCCGCUUUAUUUUAUUAUAAAGUAGACUUUGGGUUUGGAUCAUGAUGUUUUGUCGCUUUGAAUAAGAACGACUGCAUUGAAAUAUAAGAAGCUGAACUCGUUUGAAGUGAUUUAAAAAGCAGGCUUCGGCUAACUAUUGUUGUAAACUUCGGUCCAAUAGUGUUGUUUUUUGCAUUUCAUCUUAAGACUGUAGGCUUAUAAAAAUGAUAUUUUAUUUUGCUUGUUCUCCAAUCAAGUAGGACUACCCGCUGAACUUAAGCAUAUCAAUAAGCGGAGGA